UUAGAGUUUGAUCAUGGCUCAGGAUGAACGCUAGCGGCAGGCCUAAUACAUGCAAGUCGAGGGGCAGCACGAGUACUUGUACUUGGUGGCGACCGGCGCACGGGUGCGUAACGCGUAUGCAACCUACCCUUAACUGGAAGAUAGCCCGAAGAAAUUCGGAUUAAUACUCCAUAAUACUAUGAACUGGCAUCUUUUUAUAGUUAAAGCUCCGGCGGUUAAAGAUGGGCAUGCGUGACAUUAGAUAGUUGGUAAGGUAACGGCUUACCAAGUCAACGAUGUCUAGGGGGUCUUAAAGGAUGAUCCCCCACACUGGUACUGAGACACGGACCAGACUCCUACGGGAGGCAGCAGUGAGGAAUAUUGGGCAAUGGACGCAAGUCUGACCCAGCCAUCCCGCGUGAAGGAUGACGGCUCUACGAGUUGUAAACUUCUUUUGUAUAGGAAGAAAAGUCUCUACGUGUAGAGACCUGACGGUACUGUACGAAUAAGCAUCGGCUAACUCCGUGCCAGCAGCCGCGGUAAUACGGAGGAUGCAAGCGUUAUCCGGAUUUAUUAGGUUUAAAGGGUGCGUAGGCGGGACUUUAAGUCAGUGGUGAAAUCCUGCGGCUUAACCGCAGAACUGCCAUUGAAACUAUUGUUCUUGAGUUCAGUUGAGGCAGGCGGAAUGUGUAAUGUAGCGGUGAAAUGCAUAGAAUAUUACACAGAACACCGAUUGCGAAGGCAGCUUGCUAAACUGACACUGACGCUGAUUCACGAAAGCGUGGGGAGCGAACAGGAUUAGAUACCCUGGUAGUCCACGCCGUAAACGAUGCUCACUGGUUGUUGGCGCUACAUUGUCAGCGACUGAGGGAAACCAUUAAGUGAGCCACCUGGGGAGUACGUCGGCAACGAUGAAACUCAAAGGAAUUGACGGGGGCCCGCACAAGCGGUGGAACAUGUGGUUUAAUUCGAUGAUACGCGAGGAACCUUACCUGGGCUUAAAUGUAAAACGACGGAUCGGGAAACUGAUCUUUCUUAGGACGCUUUGCAAGGUGCUGCAUGGCUGUCGUCAGCUCGUGCCGUGAGGUGUCGGGUUAAGUCCCAUAACGAGCGCAACCCUCAUCAUUAGUUGCCAGCGAGUAAUGUCGGGGACUCUAAUGAAACUGCCGGUGUAAACCGAGAGGAAGGUGGGGAUGACGUCAAGUCAGCACGGCCCUUAUGUCCAGGGCUACACACGUGUUACAAUGGUCGGUACAAAGGGCAGCUACCUGGUGACAGGAUGCUAAUCUCUAAAACCGAUCUCAGUUCGGAUCGAAGUCUGCAACUCGACUUCGUGAAGCUGGAUUCGCUAGUAAUCGCGCAUCAGCCAUGGCGCGGUGAAUACGUUCCCGGGCCUUGUACACACCGCCCGUCAAGCCAUGGAAGCUGGGGGUACCUGAAGUCCGUAACCGUGAGGAGCGGCCUAGGGUAAAACUAGUAACUGGGGCUAAGUCGUAACAAGGUAGCCAAGGGCGAA
This 1495-nucleotide ribosomal RNA is filed under the name uncultured prokaryote. RNAcentral describes it as "partial 16S ribosomal RNA". It matches the Rfam family "Bacterial small subunit ribosomal RNA". The record is from RNAcentral.